GUGGGGAAUCUUCCGCAAUGGACGAAACCCUGACCCAGCAACGCCGCGUGAAGGAAGAAGGCUUUCGGGUUGUAAACUUCUUUUACCAGGGAAAAACACAAUGAUGGUACCUGGAGAAAAAGCUACGGCUAACUACGUGCCAGCAGCCGCGGUAAUACGUAGGUGGCAAGCGUUGUCCGGAAUUACUGGGUGUAAAGGGCGUGUAGGCGGAACUACAAGUCAGGGGUGAAAACUAUGGGCUUAACCCAUAGCCUGCCUUUGAAACUGUAGUCCUUGAGUGCUGGAGAGGCAAUUGGAAUUCCUAGUGUAGCGGUGAAAUGCGUAGAUAUUAGGAGGAACACCAGUGGCGAAGGCGAAUUGCUGGACAGUAACUGACGCUGAGGCGCGAAAGCGUGGGGAGCAAACAGGAUUAGAUACCCUUGUAGUCC
RNAcentral lists this ribosomal RNA (428 nucleotides) under uncultured bacterium. RNAcentral describes it as "partial 16S ribosomal RNA". It matches the Rfam family "Bacterial small subunit ribosomal RNA", at positions 354 to 796 of the family's 1533-position model. The record is from RNAcentral.